Fukomys damarensis (Damara mole-rat) is the source of this 114-nucleotide ribosomal RNA. The record is from Ensembl. Lineage: Eukaryota; Metazoa; Chordata; Mammalia; Rodentia; Bathyergidae.
GUCUACGGCCAUACCACCCUGAACGCGCCCGAUCUCGUCUGAUCUCGGAAGCUAAGCAGGGUCGGGCCUGGUUAGUACUUGGAAGGGAGAAACUACCAACAGAGCUAAGAGACA